This 508-nucleotide small RNA is filed under the name Pan troglodytes (chimpanzee). Its description in RNAcentral is "processed transcript". The record is from RNAcentral. Lineage: Eukaryota; Metazoa; Chordata; Mammalia; Primates; Hominidae.
GUAUUCUCCACUGGUUGAAUGCAAAUGGAAGCCAGAGGAAAAGGGAACCCUUGACACAGUUUUCAUAUAGAUUGGCCUCCAGAGCAGACAGCAGGAGGGGGGUUUAAUCUGGACUGAAUUGGAGGAAAGGAACUGGCACCAGAGUGGAGGCUGGAAGGAUGGUGGAACUGACACUGGGACAGAACACAGAAAACAGAAUCUAAUGCUAUUGCUCUGGCUAUAUCAAAUAAAAGUGUCAAGAGUGAGCAUCCUUGCCUUGUGCUGAAUCACAAAGGAAUACCUUUCAGUUUUUCUCCAUUGAUUAUGAUAGCAGUGGGCUUUUCACAGUGGGCUUUAUUGUGUUGAGGUUUAGGUGCAGUCAUCUUGGAUUUGAGUCGUGCUUGUGAAUUUUCAUGUGUUACAACAACCAGAUUAAAUUUCUUCAAGUGGAAAUAUUAAGUCAAAGAAAUUACCUAUUUCUAAUAAUUCUUACUGAAGAAGUGAAACCUAGCAGGAAGAAUUGUAUUUG